CCGCGCCGGACGCCGAAUCCUGUCACCGGUGGUGGAAACGCAGCACUUCCGUGUGACAGGAGCGGGGGAACCACUUUCCGCCGGAGCGUGUAUUCCGCGCACCGGCUCGGGGUUAAGUCACCGCCGAACGCGGUCCGCCGUGACCGUAUUCGACGGUGGCCGGGCAUCUCCGGCCCGAACCCGACAGCUCACCUCGCAGGCGAUGGAGAGGAGCACA
This 217-nucleotide small RNA is filed under the name Streptomyces sp. Its description in RNAcentral is "c-di-AMP sequence". It matches the Rfam family "c-di-AMP riboswitch aptamer (ydaO/yuaA leader)". From Rfam's summary of the family: This family represents a conserved RNA structure found upstream of the ydaO and yuaA genes in Bacillus subtilis and related genes in other bacteria. The ydaO/yuaA element is thought to act as a genetic "off" switch for the ydaO and yuaA genes in its native state. It is believed that the element may be triggered during osmotic shock leading to activation of ydaO, a predicted amino acid transporter gene, and members of the yuaA-yubG operon which code for KtrA and KtrB K+ transporters. Lineage: Bacteria; Bacillati; Actinomycetota; Actinomycetes; Kitasatosporales; Streptomycetaceae. The record is from RNAcentral.